GCCCGCGUGGCGGAAAGGCAGACGCAACAGACUUAAAAUCUGUCGGCUCAGGCCGUCCCGGUUCAAGUCCGGGCGCGGGCACCA
RNAcentral lists this transfer RNA (84 nucleotides) under Magnetococcales bacterium. RNAcentral describes it as "tRNA-Leu". It matches the Rfam family "tRNA". From Rfam's summary of the family: Transfer RNA (tRNA) molecules are approximately 80 nucleotides in length. Their secondary structure includes four short double-helical elements and three loops (D, anti-codon, and T loops). The record is from RNAcentral. Lineage: Bacteria; Pseudomonadati; Pseudomonadota; Magnetococcia; Magnetococcales.